UACAGAGGGUGCGAGCGUUGUCCGGAAUCACUGGGCGUAAAGGGCGCGUAGGCGGCCCGGUAAGUAGGGGGUGAAAUCGUGCGGCUCAACCGUACGACUGCCUUCUAAACUGCCAGGCUGGAGCACAGUAGAGGCAGGUGGAAUUCCCGGUGUAGCGGUGGAAUGCGUAGAGAUCGGGAAGAACAUCGGUGGCGAAGGCAGGUCUCUGGGCAUUAACUGACGCUGAGGAGCGAAAGCAUGGGGAGCGAACAGG
RNAcentral lists this ribosomal RNA (253 nucleotides) under uncultured bacterium. Its description in RNAcentral is "partial 16S ribosomal RNA". It matches the Rfam family "Bacterial small subunit ribosomal RNA", at positions 524 to 776 of the family's 1533-position model. The record is from RNAcentral.